This 547-nucleotide ribosomal RNA is filed under the name Trichoderma atroviride. Its description in RNAcentral is "eukaryotic LSU rRNA". The stretch from base 196 to 349 matches the Rfam family "5.8S ribosomal RNA". Lineage: Eukaryota; Fungi; Ascomycota; Sordariomycetes; Hypocreales; Hypocreaceae. The record is from RNAcentral.
GGGAUCAUUACCGAGUUUACAACUCCCAAACCCAAUGUGAACCAUACCAAACUGUUGCCUCGGCGGGGUCACGCCCCGGGUGCGUCGCAGCCCCGGAACCAGGCGCCCGCCGGAGGGACCAACCAAACUCUUUUCUGUAGUCCCCUCGCGGACGUUAUUUCUUACAGCUCUGAGCAAAAAUUCAAAAUGAAUCAAAACUUUCAACAACGGAUCUCUUGGUUCUGGCAUCGAUGAAGAACGCAGCGAAAUGCGAUAAGUAAUGUGAAUUGCAGAAUUCAGUGAAUCAUCGAAUCUUUGAACGCACAUUGCGCCCGCCAGUAUUCUGGCGGGCAUGCCUGUCCGAGCGUCAUUUCAACCCUCGAACCCCUCCGGGGGGUCGGCGUUGGGGAUCUCGGGAGCCCCUAAGACGGGAUCCCGGCCCCGAAAUACAGUGGCGGUCUCGCCGCAGCCUCUCCUGCGCAGUAGUUUGCACAACUCGCACCGGGAGCGCGGCGCGUCCACGUCCGUAAAACACCCAACUUCUGAAAUGUGACAUCGAUGAGUAGAA